This 253-nucleotide ribosomal RNA is filed under the name uncultured bacterium. RNAcentral describes it as "partial 16S ribosomal RNA". It matches the Rfam family "Bacterial small subunit ribosomal RNA", at positions 524 to 776 of the family's 1533-position model. The record is from RNAcentral.
UACGUACGAGGCGAGCGUUAUCCGGAAUUACUGGGCGUAAAGCGCGCGCAGGUGGUUCGUUAAGUAGGGCGUGAAAUCUCCCGGCCUAACUGGGAGGGGUCGCCCCAGACUGGCGGACUUGAGGCUGGCAGAGGUAGGUGGAAUUCCUGGUGUAGUGGUGAAAUGCGUAGAGAUCAGGAGGAACACCGGUGGCGAAGGCGGCCUACUGGGCCAGCACUGACGCUGAGGCGCGAAAGCUCGGGGAGCGAACGGG